Molecule: microRNA precursor, 57 nt
Filed under: Xenopus tropicalis (tropical clawed frog)
Lineage: Eukaryota; Metazoa; Chordata; Amphibia; Anura; Pipidae
Description: Xtr-Mir-12479_pre stem-loop
Source: RNAcentral
ACCACUAGAGGCUGCUGCACUGCAGGCUACAAAUGCUGCAGCGCCACCUGGUGGAGA